GAUUAAGUUAUUAAGGGCGCACGGUGGAUGCCUUGGCACUAGAAGCCGAUGAAGGACGUUACUAACGACGAUAUGCUUUGGGGAGCUGUAAGUAAGCUUUGAUCCAGAGAUUUCCGAAUGGGGAAACCCAGCAUGAGUUAUGUCAUGUUAUCGAUAUGUGAAUACAUAGCAUAUCAGAAGGCACACCCGGAGAACUGAAACAUCUUAGUACCCGGAGGAAGAGAAAGAAAAUUCGAUUCCCUUAGUAGCGGCGAGCGAAACGGGAAGAGCCCAAACCAACAAGCUUGCUUGUUGGGGUUGUAGGACACUCUAUACGGAGUUACAAAGGACGACAUUAGACGAAUCAUCUGGAAAGAUGAAUCAAAGAAGGUAAUAAUCCUGUAGUCGAAAAUGUUGUCUCUCUUGAGUGGAUCCUGAGUACGACGGAGCACGUGAAAUUCCGUCGGAAUCUGGGAGGACCAUCUCCUAAGGCUAAAUACUCUCUAGUGACCGAUAGUGAACCAGUACCGUGAGGGAAAGGUGAAAAGCACCCCGGAAGGGGAGUGAAAUAGAACCUGAAACCGUGUGCUUACAAGUAGUCAGAGCCCGUUAAUGGGUGAUGGCGUGCCUUUUGUAGAAUGAACCGGCGAGUUACGAUUUGAUGCAAGGUUAAGCAGUAAAUGUGGAGCCGUAGCGAAAGCGAGUCUGAAUAGGGCGUUUAGUAUUUGGUCGUAGACCCGAAACCAGGUGAUCUACCCUUGGUCAGGUUGAAGUUCAGGUAACACUGAAUGGAGGACCGAACCGACUUACGUUGAAAAGUGAGCGGAUGAACUGAGGGUAGCGGAGAAAUUCCAAUCGAACCUGGAGAUAGCUGGUUCUCUCCGAAAUAGCUUUAGGGCUAGCCUCAAGUGAUGAUUAUUGGAGGUAGAGCACUGUUUGGACGAGGGGCCCCUCUCGGGUUACCGAAUUCAGACAAACUCCGAAUGCCAAUUAAUUUAACUUGGGAGUCAGAACAUGGGUGAUAAGGUCCGUGUUCGAAAGGGAAACAGCCCAGACCACCAGCUAAGGUCCCAAAAUAUAUGUUAAGUGGAAAAGGAUGUGGCGUUGCCCAGACAACUAGGAUGUUGGCUUAGAAGCAGCCAUCAUUUAAAGAGUGCGUAAUAGCUCACUAGUCGAGUGACACUGCGCCGAAAAUGUACCGGGGCUAAACAUAUUACCGAAGCUGUGGAUUGUCCUUUGGACAAUGGUAGGAGAGCGUUCUAAGGGCGUUGAAGCAUGAUCGUAAGGACAUGUGGAGCGCUUAGAAGUGAGAAUGCCGGUGUGAGUAGCGAAAGACGGGUGAGAAUCCCGUCCACCGAUUGACUAAGGUUUCCAGAGGAAGGCUCGUCCGCUCUGGGUUAGUCGGGUCCUAAGCUGAGGCCGACAGGCGUAGGCGAUGGAUAACAGGUUGAUAUUCCUGUACCACCUAUAAUCGUUUUAAUCGAUGGGGGGACGCAGUAGGAUAGGCGAAGCGUGCGAUUGGAUUGCACGUCUAAGCAGUAAGGCUGAGUAUUAGGCAAAUCCGGUACUCGUUAAGGCUGAGCUGUGAUGGGGAGAAGACAUUGUGUCUUCGAGUCGUUGAUUUCACACUGCCGAGAAAAGCCUCUAGAUAGAAAAUAGGUGCCCGUACCGCAAACCGACACAGGUAGUCAAGAUGAGAAUUCUAAGGUGAGCGAGCGAACUCUCGUUAAGGAACUCGGCAAAAUGACCCCGUAACUUCGGGAGAAGGGGUGCUCUUUAGGGUUAACGCCCAGAAGAGCCGCAGUGAAUAGGCCCAAGCGACUGUUUAUCAAAAACACAGGUCUCUGCUAAACCGUAAGGUGAUGUAUAGGGGCUGACGCCUGCCCGGUGCUGGAAGGUUAAGAGGAGUGGUUAGCUUCUGCGAAGCUACGAAUCGAAGCCCCAGUAAACGGCGGCCGUAACUAUAACGGUCCUAAGGUAGCGAAAUUCCUUGUCGGGUAAGUUCCGACCCGCACGAAAGGCGUAACGAUUUGGGCACUGUCUCAACGAGAGACUCGGUGAAAUCAUAGUACCUGUGAAGAUGCAGGUUACCCGCGACAGGACGGAAAGACCCCGUGGAGCUUUACUGUAGCCUGAUAUUGAAAUUCGGCACAGCUUGUACAGGAUAGGUAGGAGCCUUUGAAACGUGAGCGCUAGCUUACGUGGAGGCGCUGGUGGGAUACUACCCUAGCUGUGUUGGCUUUCUAACCCGCACCACUUAUCGUGGUGGGAGACAGUGUCAGGCGGGCAGUUUGACUGGGGCGGUCGCCUCCUAAAAGGUAACGGAGGCGCUCAAAGGUUCCCUCAGAAUGGUUGGAAAUCAUUCAUAGAGUGUAAAGGCAUAAGGGAGCUUGACUGCGAGACCUACAAGUCGAGCAGGGUCGAAAGACGGACUUAGUGAUCCGGUGGUUCCGCAUGGAAGGGCCAUCGCUCAACGGAUAAAAGCUACCCGGGGAUAACAGGCUUAUCUCCCCCAAGAGUUCACAUCGACGGGGAGGUUUGGCACCUCGAUGUCGGCUCAUCGCAUCCUGGGGCUGUAGUCGGUCCCAAGGGUUGGGCUGUUCGCCCAUUAAAGCGGUACGCGAGCUGGGUUCAGAACGUCGUGAGACAGUUCGGUCCCUAUCCGUCGUGGGCGUAGGAAAUUUGAGAGGAGCUGUCCUUAGUACGAGAGGACCGGGAUGGACAUACCUCUGGUGUACCAGUUGUCGUGCCAACGGCAUAGCUGGGUAGCUAUGUGUGGACGGGAUAAGUGCUGAAAGCAUCUAAGCAUGAAGCCCCCCUCAAGAUGAGAUUUCCCAACUUCGGUUAUAAGAUCCCUCAAAGAUGAUGAGGUUAAUAGGUUCGAGGUGGAAGCAUGGUGACAUGUGGAGCUGACGAAUACUAAUCGAUCGAAGACUUAAUCAA
RNAcentral lists this ribosomal RNA (2922 nucleotides) under Staphylococcus aureus. RNAcentral describes it as "23S ribosomal RNA". It matches the Rfam family "Bacterial large subunit ribosomal RNA". The record is from RNAcentral. Lineage: Bacteria; Bacillati; Bacillota; Bacilli; Caryophanales; Staphylococcaceae.